GUGUUCACUUCGGCACCACAUAUACUAAAAUUGGAACCCUACAGAGAUUAGCAUGGCUCCUGUGCAAGGAUGACACACAAAUUCUUGAAACGUUCCAUACUUUU
Small nuclear RNA from Nannospalax galili (Upper Galilee mountains blind mole rat), 104 nucleotides. The record is from Ensembl. NCBI's taxonomy places the organism in Eukaryota, Metazoa, Chordata, Mammalia, Rodentia, Spalacidae.